This is a long non-coding RNA of Spinacia oleracea (spinach), 2703 nucleotides long. RefSeq lists it as uncharacterized. The record is from RefSeq and is a predicted model, not a curated record. The transcript has 4 exons. Lineage: Eukaryota; Viridiplantae; Streptophyta; Magnoliopsida; Caryophyllales; Amaranthaceae.
GUUUCGUGAUUUAAAACUGCUGCGGAAAUACGGAAGUAAUAAUUUUUGCAAUUUGUAAAAUUCAGCCUUCUUUCUCGCGCUUCUUUCGUUCAUUCAUUCUUUCCCCACCUUUGUCAUAUUUUUCUUAACAUUCCCAAAUCUUUGAAUAAUUUUAUUGAUCAAUACUACACACUACCAAUUGAAAUUCGUUGGGUUUCCAAUUUCUGGGAUUUGUUUGUUUGAUCACAUUUUGAUUUUUCCGGUUGAAUAAAAUCAUGAAUUCCGGCGGUGAGACGGUGGUUAAGCAUGCCACCUACAGAAAUUCUGCUAAGGCUCCCGGAAACCCCGGGAUAUUGAAGAUUACUAUGGAAGAAUUUGCAUUUUCUCCCUAUAAUCCCACCUCUGGAGCAAGGGUUCGAGUUCGUUUCAAUUCCAUUGGAGGGUGAAGGGUCGGAAGGACAUGUAUGAAUUUGAGAACUUCAGUGAUAGAAAUAUGACAGGGUUUCGUGAGUGUCCUCAAAUGUUAGAACAUCCACUAAGGAGAGACUCUCAAAUGUUAGACAGGUUCGGAAUGGGCUGGCCAACUUUCCUCUUCUCUGACACCAUUUAGAAUCAUAGUUUCCAGAUUAUAAUCCUCAAUUUUGUUUCCGUUCCUAUCUUCUCUCUUGCUCCCGUUUGUGUGAUACGUAGCCAACACCAUUUCCUUAGUUCAUCUGCGAAAUCUACUGCAAGUGGUCGAUGUGGACUAAGAGAAGUAGGAUUCAGAUAGGCUGUUGCAGUCUAGGCCAUUGUGUGGAAGGGAAAACCGUGAUUGGCCUACUUCAUAGCAAAUAUGGUGUCUGGGACUCUGGUCACUGAUGUGAAAGUUGCAUGAUUUCCCAUUUUGUGUACUGGGAGAACGGAGUACAGGAUAGAGUAACCAACUUAACUUAUGGGCAAGAGAAGCUCGUCUCUUCAAGAAUUGCUCGAUUUCUGGAUUCAGCCUAAUUAUGGUUUUAUCGGAAUAGAUGCUUUCUGAUGGAAGAGGGCCUGUCUUCUUGCAUUCAGAAUCUUUCUACUGAUGGGUGCUCUGUCUUGGUUUUCCUAGUUUGAUAUUAUGCGAUUUCCCUCGUUUAAUGGGUUUGGAAUUGGUUACAAGCGAGGCUGCAUGUGUCUCGACCUCAUGAAAUCCAGCAAUGGAAGGGCCUGUAAGGCUGUAAUGAGUCAAGGGUCACUGACUUCUUACAUAUGUAUACUGAUAUUACGAGUUUCUGGUUAGGGUUGAUUUGAUGUUUAAACUGUUAAGAGUUUCCUUUUAUCAUGCUUAUACUGAGAUUGCUUCUCUUGUUUCUGUUUGAGUUUGUAGGUUGAUUGAUUGAAUGGCGCAAUGUCUUAGAUAUAUCUGAAGCUACAGGUGACAAGUCCUUCUUGCCUUUUGUUUUCUUCCAUUAUUUCUGAUUUCCUGUUCUCUUUAAAGCCAUUUUUUAGAAUUGCAAACUCCAGUUAACUAUGUACCAGUUAAGGUUCAGGCAUCAGAGGUUACAGUACAGACUUUUGUACAUAUUGAACAAUAUAUAAAGCUGAAAUAACGCUUUUAAAUUAAAAAGAGCUGAAUCGAAUAAUCAUUUUUCAAUGUUCUGUUACCCUGUGACGGACUAUGGUUGCGCUUGUGUGGGCGGCUUGUUUCUUGGUUGCCUAGAAAGGUGGGAACCUCUUCAUCUCUCUAGUAAUGUGUAAACAGACCAAAAAUAAAUAAAUAAGAACAUUUUUCUACCAAACAACAACCUUUAUGUAUCUAUACCAAACUAAGCUGGGUAAAUGGUAUGAUUUCGGAUGAUUCUGAAUUUUCUGGUGAAGCUCUAAACUCAUAGUUUCUGAAAUCCCUGCAAGGGAAUUUUUUGUAUACUAGAACAAUGGAAGUCGAGUUGGCAAACCGAAAAAAUUAGUGGGAAGUGGGAACAACUUUUGAAUUAUUGUAAAAGUACCUAGUUAAAAGUAGUACUAACCUAAAAAAUAGUAAUCCUCCGUCCAAAUUUGUUUCCAAGCUUGGAAAUUUGUUACUUAACAUUGUCAGUCACAGAUUCUAAAGAUUGCAAACAAGGGGUAAUAAACUUACUCCGUUUAGUAGCUACAACAUCUCCAUUUUUGCUUGAUUGAAAACUAUAAGAUUGUAUUGAGUUGUGGGUAUAUGAAAAACUAAAAGAUUUUUGAUGAGCAACGUUGAGGCAGUGUCAUCAUGGGAUAUGAUCUUCUGUUCUUGUUGUGAACAUAGUUAUCUUAGUUACCUAUGAUAAUUACGUAAUUGGUCCAGCUUCCCCAUUAUUGCUUUCUAAUUUGCAACCAAGUAAAUGGUUGGUUCAGGCUCCUGUAAUCGAAGAAUCAAAUUCUGAAGUAAUGCAUAGUAAUGAUGCUUAUUUGGUGAUACUGCUAGAAUGAGCUAUUUGCAUGUGAACUGGUCUGUAAUUUCUUCUAGGUUUCAGGAGAAGAUGAUGCCUGCAUUCUCACAUUAUGAUGCAAACUUGCAGAAGAGGAGGCCAAACAGCAGAAAAAAUGGAUCCAUAUCAAGAUUUAUCUAUGCCUUACUGUCCAUAGAAUUAUGUUUUAGUUUACUAUUUUAUUUUUACUGUAAUCUGGAGUUACAUGUAAAUAUUUUAUCGUCACAAUAAUAUAUGUUUUACAUAUGCUUUCGAUUGUUCUUGUAAACAACAAUUUUGGCUUGUGUAGGAAAAACAACUUUUACAUGUU